UAACCUGCCCAAGAGAUCGGGAUAACACCUGGAAACAGAUGCUAAUACCGGAUAACAACAGAUGAUGCCUAUCAACUGUUUAAAAGAUGGUUCUGCUAUCACUCUUGGAUGGACCUGCGGUGCAUUAGCUAGUUGGUAGGGUAACGGCCUACCAAGGCGAUGAUGCAUAGCCGAGUUGAGAGACUGAUCGGCAACAUUGGGACUGAGACACGGCCCAAACUCCUACGGGAGGCAGCAGGU
This 240-nucleotide ribosomal RNA is filed under the name uncultured Lactobacillus sp. Its description in RNAcentral is "partial 16S ribosomal RNA". It matches the Rfam family "Bacterial small subunit ribosomal RNA", at positions 122 to 354 of the family's 1533-position model. The record is from RNAcentral. Lineage: Bacteria; Bacillati; Bacillota; Bacilli; Lactobacillales; Lactobacillaceae.